Molecule: long non-coding RNA, 2170 nt
Organism: Megalobrama amblycephala (Wuchang bream)
Lineage: Eukaryota; Metazoa; Chordata; Actinopteri; Cypriniformes; Xenocyprididae
Exons: 5
Source: RefSeq, a predicted model, not a curated record
UUCUUUCCAGCUUGCGCAUGCGCUGCUGCACGCGCAACCUUCAUGCGGUCUCGAAAUUUGGGCUGCGCGCGGACGGGGCGUGCGGCCGGUGUUACGAGAUUUUCGGUUUCUGAGAUUUUCGGUUUCCGAAGGUGGAGUUUCCUAGACAUGCACGAUUGCACGUGCAACUGAGAAUUUUAGUUCACAUUGCAUCUCAAGACAUUAGUGGAUUAUUCCAUAAAGAAACAUCAUCACCACCACCAUCAUCAUCUACUUCUUCUUCUUCAUCAGUCAAAACUUCACCAAGCACAGUUGUUUCCAGUACUUCUACAUCACUGGCGUCUCCAAACACAUCAGCAGGCUCUUCUCUGAUCAUCCCUCUGGUUCUGUUUUUUCUGGUUCUGAUCAUAGCUGGACUCUUAUUACUGUUUUUCUGUAAGAAGUGUCAGUCUCAAGGUGGUGAUUCGUCAUCUCAGACUGGACCAAGAAAACAUGAAGUGGUUUCUCACACUGGUUGUGAUUAUGAGGAGAUUAAAGACGCUCACAAACAAUUACCCACAAACCCCUCCGAUUCUUCUGACACUGUUUAUUCCACUGCCAAAUUACCCACAAACCCCUCUGAUUCUAACUGCGUUUACGCUACAGUUCAGAAAGCCACUGGUGACUCUCAGUGCUGCAUCACAUCUGCUGAGGAUCUGAAUUACGCAGUGGUGAAUUUCCACAAGAAAUCUUACUGUCCUGACAGUGUCAGUAGCAGGAAUAAUCAGGAUUACAGUGAAUACGCUGCUGUCAAUCAUUUCACUGCUUGACCAACAACAGCAGAGAAUAUAAAUGAGCUGAAUGAUUUAUCACCUUGUCUUUAGCAUUAAGUUUGCGUGUUUGGUGUUUUUUGUAAGUCUUCAGUGAUGCUCCUUUUCCUUAUAUUUUAGUCAGUUUUGUGAAUCAGACUUUUGACUGUUGGCAUGAAGUCUGAUGAAUGUUUAAAUUACAGCGCAGUGUUUUGUUCUGCAGACGACAAUGAAAGAAAUGAUCAGAAGCUUUUGGUCAGAGUUUGAUAUAAAUAAGUACUGAAUGUUUCAGACAAAAGUGUAAAAUUAAAGCAGAAUAUACAGCUGUGCUCUAAUUUAUAAAGCUAACAAACUUUAGCACAUUCAGCAACUGUUGUGUUUUUCUCUCAGUUCUCAUUUUAACAGAUAACUUAACCUGAUAACUUAAAAAAAAACCCAGAUGAGGUUGUGAUAUUGUUUGCAAAUGUAAUAUGCAUGAAUUAUGGAAAGCUGAAAUGCACAUAAAAGCACAAUGUCUGAGCUUUAUGAGUGUCCGUUGUGAAGCCUGAGGUCUUUUUAGCUUUUGCUCUAAAAAUGUUUAUUCCAGAAAAUUGACUCCCCACUGAUGUAACUGUAAUGUAACAGAGACUCGUUAGAGCUCAGGUUGUUAUUAUGCCUCUCCCUCUUUCUCAUUUGGGGUUCAGUAGAUUUAGUUUAACGCUCUGAUAUUUUUACUAAAGGUAAAGGGGGAGUGGAACAUCUCAAUAUUUAAGCCCUUUCUCUAGCUGAAGAUGCUGCAUGUGGUGUCGUCAGUGGGGCCUGAGUGCUAUAGUCACCACACCACAUGUGCUGAACAAACAAGUCAGAUCCAUGGAGGCUCCACCUCACAACUUACAGGACUUACAGGAACUUACAGGACUUUAUGGAUCCGGUGACACAUGUGCAUUCAUUGACUUGAAGAAGUCUUACUUGGUUGGUUGUGAUCAUAUGCUUUCCAUCUCCAAGAGAAGAAUAUGCUGGAAGGAACACCAUCCUGAAAUGAUGCUCAAACCACUCUUGUACUGGAGCUGAAUGGUGAAAGUGGAAAUUGUCCCACAACUACACAAUUUCGCUCAGUUUGCUCCUGAUCACUCUGUGGAAAGUUGAUUUCAUUGAGGGAGUUUAAACAAUUUAGAAGCCUUUCUGUGUUUUGCGACCCCAAGACAGCGUUGUGUGCCACACUAUCAGUGGAUUGGAGCACUUGUCGUCCAGGACAUUGACUGUGGCACAAUGUUUUUAUUGGGAUGAACUCUCUGUUGCAAUUGUUUUCACCUGAUAUAUUAAAGUUUUGGUUGGCUGUAUGAACUACUGUGAAAACAUUUGUAAAUUUUGAAUGUAGUAAACGUAGGUAAAGAUUUUGAGAAAGUUCCACAUGUAACACUUAU